This 24-nucleotide non-coding RNA is filed under the name Cricetulus griseus (Chinese hamster). The record is from RNAcentral. Lineage: Eukaryota; Metazoa; Chordata; Mammalia; Rodentia; Cricetidae.
UGAACUUUGUAUUAAUAUGUAGCA